Molecule: long non-coding RNA, 309 nt
Filed under: Lathyrus oleraceus (garden pea)
Lineage: Eukaryota; Viridiplantae; Streptophyta; Magnoliopsida; Fabales; Fabaceae
Description: Pisum sativum (pea) long non-coding RNA (PSAT_LNC014432)
Source: RNAcentral
UUUUCUCUUUUCCCAUGAUUUACUUACCAUGUUGAAAGGCCAACUUACUUUGUCUAUGGUGAAUAUAUAUUACGAUUUUUCAGAAAACCGUGUUUUAAUUAGUAUGUUUUCUUUAGGCUUCCUAAGAGGCUACAAAAAAGAAGAACGCAUUUGCUAGUGAAGUUACAUCCCUUCGAAGCGAGCUGCAACCACUGAGGGACGAAUAGGAUUUGUUAAAUUUGAAGAGUAAUUCAACUGUUGUGUAACCGAUUACACCAGCGUCUCAUAUGCAUUCCAAUACAAGAAAAGUCUGAUUUUCGAACGUGUAAC